GAGGAAUGUAUAGCAAUAGCUACUUGCAUCAUUGUAGAUAUGAUGUAAGAUCGACUAUGUUGAAUAAAAUUCUAGGUAGAAUUAUGAUAAUGACAUUGUCUGCCUAUGUGUCUUGACCAAAUUACGUGCCAGCAGUCGCGGUAAUACGUAGAAGACUAGUGUUAUUCAUGUUUAAUCGGUUUAAAGGGUACCUAGACGGUAGAUCAAGCUUUCUAAUAAAUGAAAAGGACUAAUUUACUAGAGUUACUUAUGAGGGGGUAUUAAAGUACUGCUGGUGUAGAGAUGAAAUUCUGUCAUACCUCUUUUCAAAAGAAAAACCAUGGCACAGGUAUAGGCGAAGGCAUCCCCUUAUGUGAUAACUGACGUUGAGGGACGAAGGCUUUGUGUAGCGAACAGGAUUAGAUACCCCAGUAGUCGAAGCAGAAAAUGAUGAAUGUCAUAGAUUAGAUGUAUAAGUUUAUUCUAUAAAUGAAAGUGUAAGCAUUCCACCUCAUGAGUAAUUUGGCAACAUUGGAACUGAAAUCAUUAGACCGUUUCUGAAACCAGUAGUGAAGUAUGUUGUUUAAUUUGAUGAUCCGCAAAAAACCUUACCACAAUUUGAAUAUUUAUAUUUUUUUUAUUGUUUUUUUCUUAAGAGAUAAAUAAUUAAACAAAAAAAUCAAAAAAGGAAGAAAAUUAAGAAAGAGGCAAUAAGAUAUAUUUACAAGCGUUGCACGGCUGUCUUCAGUUAAUGUCGCGAGACUUUGGUUAGUUCCAUUAAAUUAACGUAAACCCUUACUUUAUUUUUAUAUAGAGUAGUUCCCCGCUAUAUUGGAUAUGAU
RNAcentral lists this ribosomal RNA (821 nucleotides) under Xanthoparmelia glabrans. Its description in RNAcentral is "partial small subunit ribosomal RNA". It matches the Rfam family "Bacterial small subunit ribosomal RNA", at positions 356 to 1146 of the family's 1533-position model. The record is from RNAcentral. Lineage: Eukaryota; Fungi; Ascomycota; Lecanoromycetes; Lecanorales; Parmeliaceae.